Long non-coding RNA from Zonotrichia albicollis (white-throated sparrow), 1619 nucleotides. The record is from Ensembl. Lineage: Eukaryota; Metazoa; Chordata; Aves; Passeriformes; Passerellidae.
CUCCAGGAGGCUGUAAGUGCCACGAGGUUCCUGACACCUCCCCUGUCCUCUCCCCAGCUGUCCCCGGCCCUGCUGCAGCCACAGGUCAUUGUCGUGGCCAUCGUGGGCGAGUUGCUGGCCACCCUGCCCAAUCUGGAUGGGGAGAUGCUGCUGGUGUCCCCAGGGUGCCUGUACCAGGAACUGGAGGAAUUCACCAGGGAUCUCUGGGUCACCCUGUACCACACUGAUGCCACCUGGUGUUGCCGCAAUGUCACCUCCAAUGAUGAUGACCGUCUCACCUCCCUGAGCCAGGCCCUGGCUGCCUACAAGAGCAUCCCAUGGACCACCUGGGAUGAUGUGAUAAUGGUGGCCAGCAAGUGGCAGCGAUCGAUGGAUGAGCCAGUGAACAGCUGGGCCGAGCUGGCCAGGAAGGCCACCAAGCUCCGCAACACCUGGAAGGAGGUGGUCACUGAUGCGGCUGACAGGGCGGCCUUCUACACCGCCCGGGCCAGGGCCCUACAGGACGAGGCUGCCCGUUAUGGGACAGCUCAGGAAAAUAUUGUAGAGCUGGGUCAGGCCCUGGGCAGGGAGGAGGGGGCCAAGGUGGUGGCCGGGUAUGAAGCUUGGGUGAGGAGGGAGAUCAAGGUGUCUGCCAGCCAGGCAACAAGGGCCACCAUGGAGAGACAGCAGGCAGGGGUGGCCCUGGGGCUGCUGGAGCGCUUGGUGGCCGCAUGUGACGAAGCCACCGCGUUCCCCCGGGAGCUGCAGCGCCUGCUCAGGGACAUCGAGGCCGCCCUGAAGGAGACAAAUGAGGCGUCUCCUGAUGUCCCCGAGGACAUGGUGGCCAAGGUGGCCGACGCCGAGCGGCUGUGGGAGGCCAACGCCUGCCUGGCCAAUGAUCACCUGGCAGAGACAGUUCGAGACAUCAUCAAGUUCUUGUUCCCUGGUGGUCCUGCCAGCCUCAGUGCCCAUGAGGUGGCUGAGCGGUGCCAAAGAGCCAUCGAGGACAUCCCGAGGCUCCUUCAACCCCUGNAGUGUCCCCAAGGUGUCCCCAGUGAGCAUGGAGCUCCAAGAGCUGUCUCCGGCCCUGCUGCAGCCAGAGGUCACUGCCGUGGCCAUCCUGGGUGAGCUGCUGGCCAGUCUGCCCAGGUGGGAUGAGGAGAUGAAUCUGCACGUCCCAAAGUGCCUGUAUUGGGACCUGAAGAAUUUCACCAGCCACCUUUGCUUCACCUUGUACUGCACUGAUAACACUUGGUGGCGCCACAGUGUCACCUCUGGUGAUGAUGACCCUGUCACCUCCCUCAGCCGGGCCCUGGCUGCCUGUGAGAGCACCCGAGGGACCACCUGGGACAAUGUGAUAAAGGCGGCCAGCAAGUGGCAGCGGUCAGUGUCUAUGCAUGUGAACAGAUGGGCUGAGCUGGCCAGGACAGCCACCAAGCUUCGCAACGCCUGCAGGGAGGUGGUCACUGAGGCGGCCGACAGGGAGGCCUCAGCCAGGGCCUGGGCGAGGGACUUGCAGGCCUUGGCUGCCCGUGAUGGGACAGUUCAGGAAAACAUGGUGGAACUGGGUGAGGCCCUGGUCAGGGAGGAGGGGGCCAAGGUGGAGGACAGGUAUGAAACCCAGGUGAGGAGAGAGGCCA